RNAcentral lists this ribosomal RNA (492 nucleotides) under uncultured bacterium. RNAcentral describes it as "partial 16S ribosomal RNA". It matches the Rfam family "Bacterial small subunit ribosomal RNA", at positions 29 to 507 of the family's 1533-position model. The record is from RNAcentral.
AGUGAACGCUGGCGGUAGGCCUAACACAUGCAAGUCGAACGGCAGCACAGUAAGAGCUUGCUCUUACGGGUGGCGAGUGGCGGACGGGUGAGGAAUACAUCGGAAUCUACUUUUUCGUGGGGGAUAACGUAGGGAAACUUACGCUAAUACCGCAUACGACCUACGGGUGAAAGCAGGGGAUCUUCGGACCUUGCGCGAUUGAAUGAGCCGAUGUCGGAUUAGCUAGUUGGCGGGGUAGAGGCCCACCAAGGCGACGAUCCGUAGCUGGUCUGAGAGGAUGGUCAGCCACCAUGGAACUGAGAAGAGGUCCAGACUCCUACGAGAGGCAGCAGUGGGGAAUAUUGGACAAUGGGCGCAAGCCUGAUCCAGCCAUAACGCGUGGGUGAAGAAGGCCUUCGGGUUGUAAAGCCCUUUUGUUGGGAAAGAAAAGCAGCAGGUUAAUACCCCGCUGUUCUGACGGUACCCAAAGAAUAAGCACCGGCUAACUUCGUG